UACGAAGGGGACUAGCGUUUUUCGGAAUUACUGGGCGUAAAGCGCACGUAGGCGGAUUAGUAAGUCAGGGGUGAAAUCCCGGGGCUCAACCUCGGAACUGCCUUCGAUACUGCUGAUCUCGAGUCCGGGAGAGGUGAGUGGAAUUCCUAGUGUAGAGGUGAAAUUCGUAGAUAUCAGGAGGAACACCAGUGGCGAAGGCGGCUGCCUGGACAGCUACUGACGCUGAGACGCGAAAGCGUCGGGAGCAAACAGG
RNAcentral lists this ribosomal RNA (253 nucleotides) under uncultured bacterium. RNAcentral's name for it is "partial 16S ribosomal RNA". It matches the Rfam family "Bacterial small subunit ribosomal RNA", at positions 524 to 776 of the family's 1533-position model. The record is from RNAcentral.